RNAcentral lists this microRNA precursor (74 nucleotides) under Myotis lucifugus (little brown bat). Its description in RNAcentral is "mir-9193 microRNA precursor family". It matches the Rfam family "mir-9193 microRNA precursor family". Lineage: Eukaryota; Metazoa; Chordata; Mammalia; Chiroptera; Vespertilionidae. The record is from Rfam by way of RNAcentral.
CUCGGGGGGGGGGGGUCCUUCAGCCUGGGUUGCAAAAGGGCACAGACCAUGCCGAGGGACCCCAUCAGUGCACA